UCGUAUUAGGAGUGGGGGAGCAUAAGAUACUCUUGUAUAAUCUAAAAUGUUGUUUCAUAUAAUUUAGUAUUUAAUAUUUAUAUAUUUUUUGCGAAGCUUGUACGGGAUGUUUUAAGGUGAACUUUUUCAUCGGCGCCUUCUUGCCCUGGCCACAUAGAUGCAUACGACCGCGUUCGACCGUAUACGAAAUUAUAGUGACUUCUGGUAGUGCCAAUGGCAGAAACGUCGUGUGAAAAGUCUGUCAAUACUGAAUAAACCUGCACUCCCAUCGGUAAAUUCGAGCUUCAGAGAGACUUUUUCGAGGUUAAUAUAUACAAGUAUACAUCAGUUUUGGAGCAAUAACAAAACUAUAAAUUAUAGAAGUAUUGAGUCCUGCAUACAAGUACUUAAAGAAAACAGGCAACUUUAAAAUGGAUCACUAUGAGAUUGUAAGAGAGAUUGCUGAAUUAGGCCAUGCAUAUAUUGAAUAUAAUGAAAUUAUAAGAAGAAGAAGAAGGUUAAGACGCUGGUGGAGUAAACCUUUGAUUCGGCAUAAUUACUUAACUGGAUAUGGCAGUUAUAGAUCUGUUUUUACUUACUUUAAAUUGAAUGAUGAGGAGGAAUUCAUACAGUUUACUCGUAUGAAUGUUCAAGCAUUCGAUUAUUUAUACACUUUAGUCCAUGCAGCAUUGAUUAAAAGAAGUAUAAGGCCUGCUCUCCCUCCAGAGUUACGCCUCAGUUUAACGCUAAAUUACUUAGCACACGGUGAUUCCAUAAUUAAGCAUAAAUGGUUUUAUUCCAUUGGGAUGUCAACGACAAAAAGUAUUGUACCAGAAGUAUGCAAUGUAGGGAAACGGUAGCAAGAAACGCGGAAAUCCUCAUAAAAGCGGUGGAGUAUACAGGGUUAGAAGAGUCAAUGUACGUAAAGUGAAAUUAUAAUACAAAAUAAUAUAAAAAAAAAAUAUAUAUAUAUAUGUUAUGUUCUAGGAGUCAAUGUGAUGUAUUAAGAAAUCCAUAAGGAAUGAGGAUUGUUACAGUUAACAUUUUUAUCAGAAAUAAACACCUUCCAAGGGAAAUUUGCCUACCAGCCAAUCAGCUACAUUUUUUAAUGAAAUUAUAUAAUAAUAAUGUAAUAAUUAAUUGAAAGAAAAAUGUGUAACAUUGCAGUG
Molecule: RNA transcript, 1148 nt
Organism: Nasonia vitripennis (jewel wasp)
Lineage: Eukaryota; Metazoa; Arthropoda; Insecta; Hymenoptera; Pteromalidae
Exons: 5
Source: RefSeq, a predicted model, not a curated record